GCUCGCCUGGGAUGCUCGACAACUCCGGUGUAAUUUGAACCUACAUUUACUUUAAACGGGACACCUAGAUUGCAUUUUCCAAUGUCACGCCUCCGGCCCUGCACAUGUGCAGACAAGCUAUGGGAGAGGAAGACAGCGAAAAGGGCUGCGGUAACCCACCUGGCGUUAGCUAGGAGUCAAAUAACCGGAACCGGCAUUCUCGGGAUUAUU
Molecule: non-coding RNA, 210 nt
Filed under: Butyrivibrio sp. ob235
Lineage: Bacteria; Bacillati; Bacillota; Clostridia; Lachnospirales; Lachnospiraceae
Description: 6S / SsrS RNA
Rfam family: 6S / SsrS RNA
About the family: E. coli 6S RNA was the first non coding RNA to be sequenced, but its function was unknown until recently. It consists of 184 nucleotides that fold into an extended hairpin structure with a large single-stranded internal bulge. The 6S RNA specifically associates with RNA polymerase holoenzyme containing the sigma70 specificity factor.
Source: Rfam by way of RNAcentral